This is a non-coding RNA of Pelobates cultripes (western spadefoot toad), 404 nucleotides long. NCBI's taxonomy places the organism in Eukaryota, Metazoa, Chordata, Amphibia, Anura, Pelobatidae. The record is from the annotation of a GenBank genome assembly.
GUUCCAACUAGAUUAAGUGUAAGCAUGUACUAAAUUUAUCCUUCCCCAUCAAGAGAAAUUCAGCCUUUCCAACUAAUCAAUUUUUUUAUUCGAUUGGUGUAUUAAAAGCAAAAAAUUAUUUUCAACAAGAGAGUUUAAAUUAGUGGUAUUAAUUCCCAAGUAUUUAAUUUGAUGAGCCCAGGUCAGACCAUAUUAUUUCGUAUACACUUCCACCACUUUUGUUUGCAACUUUUUAGUUCAAAAUACUGAUUUAUCUAGAUUAAUUUUGUGGCCUGAAUUAGCAUAUAAAUCUAUUUCUAAAAUGAAUGCUUUCAAUCAAUGUUCAGGGUCUUCUAAAGUUAAUAGUAGAUCAUCUGCAUAUAAGUUCAGUUUACUUUUACUGUUAGCUGUAUAGAAACCCUUAA